AUGUGGAACAAAGCUCACUUCAGUGGAAAAGAAGAUGGGGCUCAGAUCUUUGCAACUUCUGUGGACAAUGCCCACAUCGUUCUGCAGAUUGACAAUGCCCGUCUUGCUGCUGAUGACUUUAGAGUCAAGUAUGAGACAGCUGGCCAUGUGCCAGUCCAUGGAGAGCGACAUCCAUGGGCUCCGCAAGGUCAUCGAUGACACCAAUGUCACCCGGCUGAAGCUGGAGACAGAGAUCGAGGCCCUCAAGGAAGAGCUGCGCUUCAUGAAGAAGAACCAUGAGGAGGAAGUAAAAGGACUACAAGUCCAGAUUGCCAGCUCUGGGUUGACCGUGGAGGUAGAUGCCCCCAAAUCUCAGGGCCUCGGCAAGAUCAUGGCGGACAUCCGGGCCCAGUAUGAUGAGCUGGCUCAGAAGAACUGAGAGGAGCUGGACAAGUACUGGUCCCAGCAGAUUGAGGAGAGCACCACAGUGGUCAUCACGCAGUCCGCUGAGAUUGGAGCUGCUGAGAUGAUGCUCACGGAGCUGAAACGUACAGCGCAGUCCUUGGAGACGGACCUGGACUCCAUGAGAAACCUGAAGGCCAGCUUGGAGAACAACCUGAGAGAAGUAGAGACCCGCCACACCAUGCAGAUGGAGCAGCUCAACGGCACCCUGCUGCACCUGGAGUCUGAGCGGGCACAGACCCGGACAGAGGGCCAGCACCAGGCCCAGGAGUACGAGUCCCUACUGAACAUCAAGGUCAGCUGGAGGCUGAGACAGCCACCUACUGCCGCCUACUAGGAGAUGGAGAGGACUUCAGUCUCAGUGAUGGCCUGGACAGCAGCAGCUCCAUCCAGACCAUCCAAAAGACCACCCGCAAGAUAGUGGAUGGCAAACUGGUGUCUGAGACCAAUGACACCAAAGUUCUGAGGCAUUGA
RNA transcript from Carlito syrichta (Philippine tarsier), 915 nucleotides. It is a transcript of the gene named keratin, type I cytoskeletal 18-like, with no coding region annotated. The transcript is spliced from 2 exons. Lineage: Eukaryota; Metazoa; Chordata; Mammalia; Primates; Tarsiidae. The record is from RefSeq and is a predicted model, not a curated record.